GACGUAGCUUGCCAGACGGAUCCACCAGAGAAACGUACAUAUGGCACGCAACUUUCUGUGAAAACACUGCGACCUCACUACAAAAGUACAGCCACACAGACAGCUGUGCCCUGCAAUGAUGUCGGGGUUGGGGUUGAUGUCAUCUGUGGCCUUCAAAGCAUCACAGCCAUUCCUAACAUCGACCCCAAUGAAGAGACCUGGUAAGAGACCUCGCUUGGAGGAGGAAGAGGAACACCCAAGUUCUUCAAGUUUGGACUUAGGAGAGCCACAUGAUUCUACCUAUGAUCCUGAUGACUCGGUCACAGUCUUGACUGACUCAGCAGAUGUGACAAUGGAAUCUGGCAACCCUGUUCAUAAGACACCCACAUAUAUUGUAUAUGAAAACUGCCUCCUGGAGCUGUUUGAGAGGUGUCCUGUGUGUCGGCGGGUGUCAGAUGUGAAAACAAGAAGGGUUGGGACAUUCCUCUCUGUAGAACAAAAGUGCCCAUACUGUGAGUUCUACAGAAAAUGGAAUAGUCAGCCUCUUCUUGGUAGCACUCCUGUUGGAAACAUCCAACUCUCAGCUGCAGUGUAUGCCACUGGUGCAUCUUUCUUCAAACUGGAGAAGAUCUUCCGGGCAAUGCAGCUGAGUUUGUUUCAUUAUGACACAAGAUGUGGGGAAGCUGAGCCCUCACUACCAGACCUCGUCGUUGGAGUCGUUCCACAGCGUCAUUCUGCGUUUUGCACCCAAAAACGUUUUGUUUCCUUUUCUGGGAAUGUUAUGCAGACUGUACCUGGCAGCCCUGCAUUUCAAUGAAAAUGCUGUCCGUCCCCAAGCAACAAGUUCCACUGGUGAGCCGCUAUUUAAAGUGAGCUACCCAAAGUACAAAAAGGGCGAGUGCACGGCAAAUAUGGUGAAAGCAGAGGCAACCUUCCAUUACGUGGACAACCUGUUGGACCUCAUCUUUCACAAGGUUUUUCAGGACCCGGCCCCAUAUGUGACUGAGGUGCUGAAGAUCCCAAUACCUGCGGAUCUCUCUGCCAACUAUGAGAAACCUGACAAGCAGGAAGUUGUAGACAGAUAUGUGUCGAGGGACAGUGAAGGGCAGGUCUGAACCCCGUAUACCUUCCCUGAGCAUCAGGGAACACUCUGCGGAUCUUGAGAACCACGCAGGAGGGCAGGACCAUCCUGACACUCUGGCCCACGUAGCCCCAACACCAGCUAACAAAGCUUCGGUACGCCAAAUACCUGUAAUGGCUGAGCAAAGUUUACAUUUUAGUUAGAGAAUCAAAGUUGACACACAAAUAUAAAGUGUUCCUUUUUUUAAAGUAUGGCUACUGAUGGCACAAAGUGUGUUUUUGUAAUCUAUGUUUUUGU
Long non-coding RNA from Limanda limanda (common dab), 1357 nucleotides. RefSeq lists it as uncharacterized. The transcript has 6 exons. The record is from RefSeq and is a predicted model, not a curated record. NCBI's taxonomy places the organism in Eukaryota, Metazoa, Chordata, Actinopteri, Pleuronectiformes, Pleuronectidae.